GACGAACGCUGGCGGCGUGCUUAACACAUGCAAGUCGAACGGAAAGGCCCUGCUUUUGUGGGGUGCUCGAGUGGCGAACGGGUGAGUAACAUGUGAGUAACCUGCCCUUGACUUUGGGAUAACUUCAGGAAACUGGGGCUAAUACCGGAUAGGAGCUCCUGCUGCAUGGUGGUGGUUGGAAAGUUUCGGCGGUUGGGGAUGGACUCGCGGCUUAUCAGCUUGUUGGUGGGGUAGUGGCUUACCAAGGCUUUGACGGGUAGCCGGCCUGAGAGGGUGACCGGCCACAUUGGGACUGAGAUACGGCCCAGACUCCUACGGGAGGCAGCAGUGGGGAAUAUUGCACAGUGGGCGGAAGCCUGAUGCAGCAACGCCGCGUGCGGGAUGACGGCCUUCGGGUUGUAAACCGCUUUCGCCUGUGACGAAGCGUGAGUGACGGUAAUGGGUAAAGAAGCACCGGCUAACUACGUG
Molecule: ribosomal RNA, 468 nt
Filed under: uncultured bacterium
Lineage: Bacteria
Description: partial 16S ribosomal RNA
Rfam family: Bacterial small subunit ribosomal RNA
Source: RNAcentral